This 560-nucleotide ribosomal RNA is filed under the name Pseudomonas sp. R8-7. RNAcentral's name for it is "bacterial SSU rRNA". It matches the Rfam family "Bacterial small subunit ribosomal RNA", at positions 137 to 692 of the family's 1533-position model. The record is from RNAcentral. Lineage: Bacteria; Pseudomonadati; Pseudomonadota; Gammaproteobacteria; Pseudomonadales; Pseudomonadaceae.
UGGGGGAUAACGUUCGGAAACGGACGCUAAUACCGCAUACGUCCUACGGGAGAAAGCAGGGGACCUUCNGGCCUUGCGCUAUCAGAUGAGCCUAGGUCGGAUUAGCUAGUUGGUGAGGUAAUGGCUCACCAAGGCUACGAUCCGUAACUGGUCUGAGAGGAUGAUCAGUCACACUGGAACUGAGACACGGUCCAGACUCCUACGGGAGGCAGCAGUGGGGAAUAUUGGACAAUGGGCGAAAGCCUGAUCCAGCCAUGCCGCGUGUGUGAAGAAGGUCUUCGGAUUGUAAAGCACUUUAAGUUGGGAGGAAGGGCAGUAAAUUAAUACUUUGCUGUUUUGACGUUACCGACAGAAUAAGCACCGGCUAACUCUGUGCCAGCAGCCGCGGUAAUACAGAGGGUGCAAGCGUUAAUCGGAAUUACUGGGCGUAAAGCGCGCGUAGGUGGUUCGUUAAGUUGGAUGUGAAAUCCCCGGGCUCAACCUGGGAACUGCAUUCAAAACUGACGAGCUAGAGUAUGGUAGAGGGUGGUGGAAUUUCCUGUGUAGCGGUGAAAUGCGUA